UACGUAGGGUGCAAGCGUUAAUCGGAAUUACUGGGCGUAAAGCGUGCGCAGGCGGUUGUGCAAGAAAGAUGUGAAAUCCCCGGGCUUAACCUGGGAAUGGCAUUUGUGACUGCAUAGCUAGAGUGUGUCAGAGGGGGGUAGAAUUCCACGUGUAGCAGUGAAAUGCGUAGAUAUGUGGAGGAAUACCGAUGGCGAAGGCAGCCCCCUGGGAUAACACUGACGCUCAUGCACGAAAGCGUGGGGAGCAAACAGG
This 253-nucleotide ribosomal RNA is filed under the name uncultured bacterium. Its description in RNAcentral is "partial 16S ribosomal RNA". It matches the Rfam family "Bacterial small subunit ribosomal RNA", at positions 524 to 776 of the family's 1533-position model. The record is from RNAcentral.